RNAcentral lists this unclassified non-coding RNA (285 nucleotides) under plant metagenome. Its description in RNAcentral is "partial contains small subunit ribosomal RNA, internal transcribed spacer 1, and 5.8S ribosomal RNA". The stretch from base 1 to 54 matches the Rfam family "Eukaryotic small subunit ribosomal RNA", at positions 1778 to 1831 of the family's 1831-position model. The record is from RNAcentral.
GGUAGUAAAAGUCGUAACAAGGUUUCCGUAGGUGAACCUGCGGAAGGAUCAUUAUUGUAUAACCGAGGUGCGAGGGCUGUCGCUGACCCGAAAGGUCGUGCACGCCCGAGCGCCCUCACACACAUCCAUCUCACCCCUAUGUGCACCACCGCGUGGGUCCCCCUUUGGCUUGUUCGGAGGGGGGCUUACGUUUUCACACAAACUUUGUAUGCAGUGUAGAAUGUAUUUUUUGGUUUUGCGAUCACGCAAUCAAUACAACUUUCAACAACGGAUCUCUUGGCUCUC